CCUACGGGUGGCUGCAGUGGGGAAUAUUGGGCAAUGGGCGCAAGCCUGACCCAGCAACGCCGCGUGAAGGAAGAAGGCUUUCGGGUUGUAAACUUCUUUUGUCAGGGACGAAGCAAGUGACGGUACCUGAUGAAUAAGCCACGGCUACCUACGUGCCAGCAGCCGCGGUAAUACGUAGGGGGCAAGCGUUAUCCGGAUUUACUGGGUGCAAAGGGCGUGAAGGCGGGACUGUAAGUCAGAUGUGAAAACCACGGGCUCAACCUGUGGCCUGCAUUUGAAACUGUAGUUCUUGAGUACUGGAGAGGCAGACGGAAUUCCUAGUGUAGCGGUGAAAUGCGUAGAUAUUAGGAGGAACACCAGUGGCGAAGGCGGUCUGCUGGACAGCAACUGACGCUGAGGCGCGAAAGCGUGGGGAGCAAACAGGAUUAGAUACCCUUGUAGUC
Molecule: ribosomal RNA, 443 nt
Filed under: uncultured bacterium
Lineage: Bacteria
Description: partial 16S ribosomal RNA
Rfam family: Bacterial small subunit ribosomal RNA
Source: RNAcentral